GACGAACGCUGGCGGCGUGCCUAAUACAUGCAAGUCGAGCGCAGGAAAUCGACGGAACCCUUCGGGGGGAAGUCGACGGAAUGAGCGGCGGACGGGUGAGUAACACGUAAAGAACCUGCCCUCAGGUCUGGGAUAACCACGAGAAAUCGGGGCUAAUGCCGGAUGGGUCAUCGGACCGCAUGGUCCGAGGAUGAAAGGCGCUUCGGCGUCGCCUGGGGAUGGCUUUGCGGUGCAUUAGCUAGUUGGUGGGGUAAUGGCCCACCAAGGCGACGAUGCAUAGCCGACCUGAGAGGGUGAUCGGCCACACUGGGACUGAGACACGGCCCAGACUCCUACGGGAGGCAGCAGUAGGGAAUCCUCCACAAUGGACGAAAGUCUGAUGGAGCAACGCCGCGUGAACGAUGAAGGCCUUCGGGUCGUAAAGUUCUGUUGUAAGGGAAGAACAAGUGCCGCAGGCAAUGGCGGCACCUUGACGGUACCUUGCGAGAAAGCCACGGCUAACUACGUGCCAGCCGCCGCCGUAA
Molecule: ribosomal RNA, 524 nt
Filed under: uncultured bacterium
Lineage: Bacteria
Description: partial 16S ribosomal RNA
Rfam family: Bacterial small subunit ribosomal RNA
Source: RNAcentral